AACGAACGCUGGCGGCAUGCCUAAUACAUGCAAGUCGAACGAGAUCUUCGGACCUAGUGGCGCAUGGGUGCGUAACGCGUGGGAAUCUGCCCAUGGGUUCGGAAUAACUUCUGGAAACGGAAGCUAAUACCGGAUGAUGUCGUAAGUCCAAAGAUUUAUCGCCCAAGGAUGAGCCCGCGUAGGAUUAGGUAGUUGGUGAGGUAAAGGCUCACAACGCCGACGAUCCUUAGCUGGUUUGAGAGGAUGAUCAGCCACACUGGGACUGAGACACGGCCCAGACUCCUACGGGAGGCAGCAGUAGGGAAUAUUGGACAGUGGGCGAAAGCCUGAUCCAGCAAUGCCGCGUGAGUGAUGAAGGCCGUAGGGUUGUAAAGCUCUUUUACCCGGGAUGAUAAUGACAGUACCGGGAGAAUAAGCUCCGGCUAACUCCGUG
Molecule: ribosomal RNA, 433 nt
Filed under: uncultured bacterium
Lineage: Bacteria
Description: partial 16S ribosomal RNA
Rfam family: Bacterial small subunit ribosomal RNA
Source: RNAcentral